RNAcentral lists this long non-coding RNA (427 nucleotides) under Lytechinus variegatus (green sea urchin). Its description in RNAcentral is "uncharacterized LOC121406569". The record is from RNAcentral. Lineage: Eukaryota; Metazoa; Echinodermata; Echinoidea; Temnopleuroida; Toxopneustidae.
CAGGAACAACAACUGGAACCACACCAAGUACCACAACAGGUACCACUCCAGAAACAACUCCUGCCACAACAACAGAGUGUGUUCCCGGCAGCAGAGAAAGAAUAUGUGAUUGGAGUGAAUGGAUUAACGAUGAUUCUGGACAAAUGCAAUCUGAGAGUGCUUCAGCUGAGGAAGUUGAACUACUUGAAGAUGCCCGGCACUUCCCCGGUUUCCCUGAAGAUUGCCACGUAUACGGUAUCCAGUGCAGGACUGUAGACACACAUGUUAUGUGGAAUGAAACUACUGACGCUGUUACCGUUGAUGUUAAUACAGGUCUUCGCUGUAUUAAUAUACUAGGAAGACCAAUAUGUCUGGACUAUGAAUGUAGAUGGAUGUGCUGCAGUUGGCACACUGUCACUUGCACACCACCUGGAACAACCACAGAAGG